Molecule: long non-coding RNA, 1301 nt
Organism: Alligator mississippiensis (American alligator)
Lineage: Eukaryota; Metazoa; Chordata; Crocodylia; Alligatoridae
Exons: 3
Source: RefSeq, a predicted model, not a curated record
CAGGGCAGUUCAGCUGCCAGAGGCCAGGCAACAACAUUGCCUGCCUGGAGGGCUGCUGGUAUCAUCUGGAGGGCAGCCUGCAGUGGCCCAGACAGAGCUAGGGGGGUGCUAGAGCAUGUCUCCCAGCUUGCCAGCCAAUGCCGAGGACACCUGAAUGCAGUGCUAAUCUAACGUAACUAGGUGGUGGUUGCGUGUCUAUUUAGACCUGGAGCAUAUAAAAGGAGCUGCGUGCCCAGCGCAAGGGGCAGAUACAGUGAGGGUCUCAAGAAGAGUGGAGCUAAGAAAAGCUGGGAAGCCCUCCUUCAGCAGGCAAUAAGCCCAAGGCUCCUGAAGUUGCCACUAGAGGAGCAGCCUUGGAAGUGGUGCAAGAGCGCUCGGGCUGUUGAUGACGCACAGGGACAGUGCAUGGAGACCUGGCCCUGGGAGUGGCGUGAGACUGCUCAGGCCCAUCAUGGUGCACAGUUUAGUGCACAGAGCCCAGGCUUUGAAAGCCACAAGCAGCGGCUUGAGCCUGCAACCCUGGGAAGGCCUUGGGGGCCACAGUAAGGUGGCUCAGGCUCUAUCUCCCGGCAAGCAGCCAGGUCCCAUGGUGUGCAGGGCGGUGCACAGGCCCAAGCCUUGGGAGCCAGGGAGCAGCGGAGGCUGCUUGAGCUAACCACCCAGCCUGAGGCUGGCUGGCUGGAGCCUGAAGGGCCCAGCCUCUGCUAAGAGAGCCCUCGGUGCUGAGCCAGGGCAUGGGGAAAUGGUAGUGCUGCAGCAUUAGGCCCAGCACCCAAGAACCAGCAGCAGAGGCGCAGCAGCUGAGAGGAGCUGAGCCCUCGAUGCCCAGAGCGGGGCACAGGGUGGGGAGGAGACCAACAGCAUGGGAGAGGCCUGGAAAGGCACACCAGCAGAGGAGACCUGAUCGAGUUGUGCCCUGACCACUGCCACCUGAGGGAGUGUGAGUCAUUGGGCUCUUGGGUCCCACAGGGGAAAGACAUUUGGGGCAGGCAAACCCAGAGAAGGGGCUGGGUGAGUAGCCCCCUACCUAGUCAAGGCACUAAGGGUAGGGGCCCCUGGUGCUUCUUGGACAACUCCCCCCCUCCCCCCCCCAGGGACCCCUUUGGAAGGAGGACUAUCUCUUGCCAUGAGUCAGGGACUAGUUUAAGAAUAGAUAAUAUUAAGAUUAUUCAUGUUUGUGCCUUAUAUUUUGUAAUUGAAAUAUUGUGUUGUGAUGUUGUAGAUAGUGUUAUUUAGGGUUUGACCUUGGUUAUUGGUUAGUGUUCACUGUGUAAAUAUAUGUAUAUGAUAUUUAGUUUUAU